AUGGUGUUGGCUCUAUUGAGAAUGAGAAGGAGACUUAGAAGGCAUUUGGGAGUUCAAUUUGGAACGUGGUCAAAGUAUUUCACCUAUGAAACCUUGACUAUAAUGAGACUAUGCCCACCCUGUAUUUUUCACUUCGUUUUCAGACCAAGAUUGAUUUCAACCAGCUAUUUUUCAAAUUUUACCUUAAAACAGGCCUUUUUGGGAACACUGACAAUUGCAUUCCCUGUGGAAGUGAGAAGAACUAAAGGAGUUUUUGCAAAGAUUACUGAGGUUAUUCUUAUUCAAUCACCCAACAUCUCUAUGGAUUUAGCCUUGAGACUUGCUUUGGAAAUUCUGUAUUAGAUGACCCAACAUGAGAAAUAGCAUGAGAGCACUUGCAUGUUGCUGCUUGCUCUCUUGUGUCUUCUGUCAUCACCAUGAGAACAUACCCAGGCUAGUCUGCUGGAUGGUAAGUAACAUAAAUACCAGAGUCAAGUUAGCUUACUUUUUCCAGCCAAUGCCAGCUUCGAUCUACUGACAGGAAGACAGGGGAACAAUCCCAGCCAAGAAUAAGGCCUAGCUACCCACCCCAUAGGUAAACUAUUGUCUCUGCUACUACAGUCUCAUAGGGCUUGUUUUUGUUGUUGUUCUUGUCAUUGAUAUAUCAUUCCAUGUCAUUAGAUAAUACAUAUCAAAGUAACCCCACACAAAAAUUACAUUGUUUAUUUUAUUUGCAUGCUUUCCUUUGAGGGGGGAGACUCACUAACCUUAUACUAUUAGAUCAUGAGCACAGCAUUUUUUGUAAAGAACUUGGCAUUAAUUAAUUCAGUCUCAAUUUAUAUCUGAAAAGACCACACUAGCAGUGAGAGAAAAGAUAGUGUCCUUACGGUGUCCUCAUGGUGAACCAAAAUUUGACCUCUUCAACUAUUCUGUUGAUAUCCCAGAUGAAUUCUCUGAAAUAUUUCCCCUAUGGGUUUCUCUUUAGUUUGUUCUCUAAAGGCUUUUAGGAAUUCAUUAGCAACAAAUAGAGAAAAAUCUGUUUUCACUCGCAAUGCCUGAUUUUAUCCUUGUAAUUCUUGAGCCCUUAAUCUUGGAAUUCAUUGAAAAACUAAAGACAAGUAAAAGUUUUUUUCCCUUCCUUUUCUAAGGUUGUGAAAUAUAAAAAAGGUAUCUUGGAGCAAUACACUAGGUCAAUGUAAUUUCUUCCUAAACUUACACAUAUCUUUCUAACUUUAUUCAUUAAUACCAUUUAUAAGUGUUGAAAUUUUGAAAAUAUGUAUUCAUUUUUUCUCAAAAGGUAAGUUUAAAUACAGUGGUUUAGUAGUAUUCUGCUAAAUUCUGAAC
This 1323-nucleotide long non-coding RNA is filed under the name Felis catus (domestic cat). RNAcentral's name for it is "lncRNA (ENSFCAG00000044818.2)". Lineage: Eukaryota; Metazoa; Chordata; Mammalia; Carnivora; Felidae. The record is from RNAcentral.